Long non-coding RNA from Callorhinus ursinus (northern fur seal), 722 nucleotides. RefSeq lists it as uncharacterized. The record is from RefSeq and is a predicted model, not a curated record. Lineage: Eukaryota; Metazoa; Chordata; Mammalia; Carnivora; Otariidae.
CUGGCCAGGUGCCAGGUGAGACGCAUGGGGCUUGCCCUUGAGAAGCCUGCUGAGGCUGCAGGUCGUCAGAGCACACUGUAGCCACGGCUGUGAGGUGCACUGAAGGCGUCUGAAACCAGGUCGCCCACAGGAUGUUGGAAGCCGCAGGGGCCUGGUGGUAAGCUUCUGCCAGUCUAGGCUGCCUUCCAAGGAGCAAGGGCUCCCAGUACAUCCAGAGCUGCUCGUCUGAGUCCAGGGUCUCCACAAGGAGCCAGUGAAGCCAGGGACAGGCCAGUCUGGCUGAAGACUAGAAGCACCAGCUGAUUUCUGACCUUUCUCCAUGGGGCCCAGCACACAGGACAGAGAGGGCUUCACAAGCUUAUCCUGUUAAAAUGCAGAUUCUAACUCAGUAGGUCUGGGCAAGCCCAAGCCUGUAUCCGUAACAAUCCCCAGGGUCCUGCUACUGGGCCCUGGGCCUCAUCAAGGGCUGGAGCUCAGUGCUUGGUAGGGGCUGUCUUAAUGUGGGGCUACAGAUUCACAAAUGUGGAUGAAUGGAUGAACACACAUCUCUUAUCUACGAACCAAAGGGACAUAAGGAGCCAGCAGGCCUGGGUCACCCUUUGCAAUGAAGGACAGGCACAAAGGCCUUCUGCAGACACGGUUAUGAGGGCAGCAAGGGAGCUGUGGGUGAAGCUCCCAGCCAGCUUCCCUCAUUACCUUUCUGCAGUGUAGCAUCUGGAAGA